UAGCCGAUUUUGUGGCUAUAGUGGCCACCAU
Molecule: small RNA, 31 nt
Filed under: Bombyx mori (domestic silkworm)
Lineage: Eukaryota; Metazoa; Arthropoda; Insecta; Lepidoptera; Bombycidae
Description: ovarian small RNA-22376
Source: RNAcentral